Molecule: ribosomal RNA, 256 nt
Filed under: uncultured bacterium
Lineage: Bacteria
Description: partial 16S ribosomal RNA
Rfam family: Bacterial small subunit ribosomal RNA
Source: RNAcentral
UACGUAGGUGGCAAGCGUUACUCGGAAUCACUAGGCGUAAAGCGCAGGUAGGCGGUUCGGUAAGUCUUUUUGUGAAAGCUCCCCGGCUCAACUGGGAGAGGUCAAAGGAAACUACCGGGCUAGAGUGUGGUAGGGGAAACUGGAAUUCCUGGUGUAGCGGUGAAAUGCGUAGAUAUCAGGAGGAACACCUAUGGCGAAAAGCAGGUUUCUGGGCCACUACUGACGCUGAGAAGCGAAAGCAUGGGGAGCGAACAGG